CGUACUCAGAGUGAAUCAUCGAAUCUUUGAACGCAUUUUGCGCUUUUCGGGUCCAUCGAGAAGCAUACCUGUUUGUAGUAUCAGAAAGUACUCUAACGACUGUGGUUGUUGGGAAUUGGGGAUUAUCUGAGGAUAUUCUCUGAAAGGCAGGAAGCGACGUUGGGCAUAUGUUUCGCGUCAAAGUGCGGUAAGAAAACGGAUGUUUUUCUCCCACUGAGCAGCGACGUAUCCUGACGCAAGUUGCUUUUAUAAUACUUUUGAACUCUUGAUCUCAAAUCAGGUAGGAUUACCCGCUGAACUUAAGCAUAUCAAUAAGCGGAGG
Molecule: ribosomal RNA, 322 nt
Filed under: uncultured Basidiomycota
Lineage: Eukaryota; Fungi; Basidiomycota
Description: eukaryotic LSU rRNA
Rfam family: Eukaryotic large subunit ribosomal RNA (bases 267-322)
Source: RNAcentral